This is a non-coding RNA of Gorilla gorilla gorilla (western lowland gorilla), 298 nucleotides long. It matches the Rfam family "Metazoan signal recognition particle RNA". From Rfam's summary of the family: The signal recognition particle (SRP) is a universally conserved ribonucleoprotein. It is involved in the co-translational targeting of proteins to membranes. Lineage: Eukaryota; Metazoa; Chordata; Mammalia; Primates; Hominidae. The record is from Rfam.
GCCAGGUGUGGUGGCACAUGUCUGUGGUCCCAGCUACUGAAGAGGCUGAGGUGGGAUGACUGCUUAAGCCCAGGAAUUUGGGGCUAUAGUGAGCUAUACUGAUGGGGUAUCUAUACUGUUUGGCAUCAAUAUGGUGGCCACUGGGGAGCAUGGUACCACCAGGUUGCCUAAGGAGGGGUGAACUGGCCCAGGUUGGAAACAGAGCGGGUCAAAACUUCUGUGCUGGUCAGUAGUGGGAUCAUGCCUGUGAAUUGCCACUGCACUCCAGUCUGGGCAACAUAGCAAGACCCUAUCUUUA